Molecule: ribosomal RNA, 506 nt
Filed under: uncultured bacterium
Lineage: Bacteria
Description: bacterial SSU rRNA
Rfam family: Bacterial small subunit ribosomal RNA
Source: RNAcentral
UAGUCCACGCCGUAAACGAUGGGCACUAAGUGUCGGCGGUUUACCGUCGGUGCCGCAGCUAACGCAGUAAGUGCCCCGCCUGGGGAGUACGGCCACAAGGUUGAAACUCAAAGGAAUUGACGGGGGCCCGCACAAGCGGUGGAGCAUGUGGUUUAAUUCGACGCAACGCGAAGAACCUUACCCAGGUUAGACACGCUCGUAGUAAGACCCUGAGAGGGGAAUGAUCCUGAAAGGGAAGCUUGCGCAGGUGCUGCAUGGCUGUCGUCAGCUCGUGCCGUGAGGUGUUGGGUUAAGUCCCGCAACGAGCGUAACCCCUGUCUUCAGUUGCCAUCGGGUCAUGCCGAGCACUCUGAAGAGACUGCCCAGGAUAACGGGGAGGAAGGUGGGGAUGACGUCAAGUCAGCAUGGCCUUUAUGCCUGGGGCUACACACGUGCUACAAUGGCCGGCACAAAGGGUUGCGAUCUCGCAAGGGUGAGCUAAUCCCAAAAACCGGCCUCAGUUCAGA